Triticum aestivum (bread wheat) is the source of this 4855-nucleotide RNA transcript. RefSeq lists it as uncharacterized. Lineage: Eukaryota; Viridiplantae; Streptophyta; Magnoliopsida; Poales; Poaceae. The record is from RefSeq and is a predicted model, not a curated record. The transcript is spliced from 12 exons.
AUGGAUGUUGCCCUCGACGAAGACCCCCCAUCAGACCAUUCCGAUGUAAGGAGGCACUGUGACAACCGUAUAAACACAAGUGUUGACGACGCCACGUGGCUAGAACCUUGCAACCACAACCAAAACCCCAUCAUUGGUAUCUACAAUGAAGCACUUACACGCAAUACUAAGAGCAACUCCAAUGCGAGUCGCCCCGCGCGUCAGCGACUCACCCCGAUCCCCGGCUUCCACGUCUACCCGCAAGCCUCCCGCCUCUCCGGGGAAUGCUCGUUGGAGGUGAGCGUGGUGGCACCUUCCACGCCCUCGCCCGUGCCCAUCGACCUCAACGCCACCCCGGUAGCCGGUGGCUCGUCAUCCGGUGGGCGCGAGGAAACGCGCGCGGGAGAUGCCAGCCGACAUGAUCCCUGGCGCCCACAACCUGUUCGACAGUAUGCCGGCAGCCGGCGAUGACGAUUUCAUGCAGAACAUCAUCUUCGAGGGCGGUAUGGAGGCCGUUGGCGGUGUCGCCGUGGCUGGCUACGAUCCCGACGAGACACAAAGCCAGGAUGACCGAGGGUUGUUCACGCCGUCGACCUUUGAUCAAUCUGGCAUGCAAGACGCCUUCAUGCGAGAUCAGGACUACGGCCUCGAGGAAGAGGAUGAGUUGGACAUCGACGGGGAGCCUUUGUUCGAGGACGAGCUCGCCAACCAAGCCGCCGGGGUGAAGCCGAAGCGCAAGAGCAGGUGGACAAAGUCAUACACGACGGCCGAGGACAAGCUUCUUUGUGAGUGUUGGAGGGACAUUGGGCAAGACCCCAAGACCGGCGCAGAACAAAAGGCAUCAACCUUUUGGACUCGUGUCCAUCGCUAGUUCCAUGAACGCAAGAAGUUUCCGCCGUACCAAAUGCAAAGCACGCGCGGGCAUUCCAAACUUUGGAGGCAUUCAAGGUGCAACAUGAAGGCAAGUCCUUCCACCUCUCCCAUUGUUGGAGGGUCAUCAAAGACGAGGAGAAGUUCAAGGCGCAAUUUGCUGCCAUCAUGGCGCGUGGGUGGAAGAAAGCCGAGGAGGAGGUUGGGGAGGGCGAGAAGGCACGACCGCGGGGAAAGACAAACACCAAGAAGGAGGACAAGCGGGAUGCGGCGUCGAUCGCCUUGAUCACAAGCGUGGAGGACAUGAUGACCAAGAAAGACUCAAGGGAGGAGAAGCGCCGGAAAGACAAGGAAGAGCAAAUGAACGCCUUCAUGGAGAUCCAAAGGAGGAGGCUUGAGAUGGAGCCGGAGAAGCAAACGAGGAUGCUUGAGAUGGAGGCGGAGAAGCAAGCCAAGAUGUUAGAGAUCGAGGCCGCCAAUGCCAAGACCAAGGCGAAAGAAGCGUUGGGUGCACUGCCGAUCCAAAAGAAAAACAGGACGGACGCCGAGCGGGCGGCCGACCCAAAUGGACAAAAAGCGGACAAAAGCAUCGUCCAUUCGGGUCGGCGCGUUGGAGUUGCUCUAAUGGUUUUUCUCAUUCAUUGCAUGUAUUACCGCAGAAAAAGGAAGUGUUCCGACCCCAUCAAUAAUCUUUCACUUACUGGAAAUAGGGUUCACAGUUGGGGAUGUGGCAGUGUUACCGAGGAGUGGGACCGCUUGUAUGCUCAGAAGGUCCAAUUGUUGACUUUCCUUUCGACUCUGCCCGAGCCUGCUCUGAGCUAUGGGCCGAGUGCUGAAACUAAUAUGGCCAAUUCUAUCGAGCAAAGAGAAGAGAAAAAGAGUGUAAUAGUUCUUGAUUCGGAUGAUGAAGAUGAAAGCACAGAAGCACACAAACAUCUGACGCCUGAGAAAAACAAACAGCUCACACCUGAGAAAAAUAAACAUCUGAUACCAUCAGAACAGGCUGGUGCUCUCAUGAGGGUGGUAACAGAAGGAAUUGAUGAAGUAAUAAAUGAGACAAUGCCUGUUAGAGACCAAAACAGUCAAAUUGUUCCAUACAGUCCAAGUGCAACUUUAGUGAAUCAGUAUCCUGUUACCAGCUAUCAACCAUCAGCAGUUCUGUUUGAGAGAGUUAUAUUGCAGAAAAGACCUGAGGAGGAACGUAUCCAUGAUCUGGCUGUUGCUACCCAUAAGGAGAAAAUAGCAGAAACACAAGUUCUCCCUCCACUUCCUAAGGAGAGAAAAAAACGAAAAGUUGAUCCAAGCUCCCAGGUAGAUGGGGAUGUUGAAAUUGUGCCAAGAAAAAGAAAAGGAAAAAAUGAAGCAAAUCCAGCAGUAUUUGAUUUGCCCUCAGAACGUUACAAUCCUGCGGGGGAAGACGAGCCUGUGGAGGAAGAUGAGCCUAUGGGGGAAGAUGAGCCUAUGGAGGAAGAGCAUAUACAAGAACAGGAAAGUGAUGGCCUUGAAGAUUUUUGGAAUGAGUACUCAGUGGCACUUGAAAGCUCUAAGCUCGACACACUUGAAGAGGCAGCCAAUGAGAAAGAAGUGGGUGAGAAAGAGGUGGACAACGCUUGCAAUCAUGAUAUACAGAUUCAUGAAGAUCUGGGCCAUGUAUGCCGUGUCUGCGGUUUGAUUGUGAAAAGGGCUGACACUAUCAUUGAUUAUCAGUGGAGAAAGGCAUCAAGGUCAAGAUCAUAUUUCUCUGAAAAGCGUUCAAAGGAUUCUGACGAGAUUGUCACUGGUGAUGUUAGAGUCGCUGAGGAACUCAAUGCUUUAGACAUUGCUAUUCAUCCAAGACAUGAAAAGCAAAUGAGACCACAUCAGUUGGCAGGUUUCCACUUUCUGGUCAAGAAUUUGGUCUCUGACAAACCAGGAGGUUGCAUUCUAGCUCAUGCGCCUGGUUCGGGGAAAACAUUUAUGCUCAUCAGUUUUAUUCAGAGCUUCUUGGCAAAAUAUCCCUCUGGAAGGCCUCUCGUUGUACUCCCUAAAGGUAUAUUAGGUACUUGGAAAAGGGAAUUUCAACAGUGGCAAGUGGAGGACAUACCACUGUAUGAUUUGUAUUCUGUCAAGACCAGAGCAGAGCAGUUGGAAAUCCUCAAGUCUUGGGAAGCCAAAAGGAGUAUCCUCUUGGUGGGCUACACUCAGUUCUCUUGGAUCAUUAGCAGUGACGAGGGUGGCGCCGUUGCAGCUGGAUGCCAGGAGAGGUUGCUUAAGGUCCCGAACCUACUUAUAAUGGAUGAGGGCCAUUUACCUAGGACUGAGUCAACUAAUGUGCUAGAAUCACUGCAGAGAGUACAAACUCCACGCAAGGUUGUCCUAUCUGGUACACUUUUCCAGAAUCAUGUCUCAGAAGUGUUCAACAUCAUGAACCUUGUACGCCCAAAGUUUCUCAAGAAGGAUUCAUCUCGUCCUAUCGUUGCUCGUAUAAUGAGUCAAGUGUCAAUAUCAGGUCGCAGGAUUUCAAAAGAAGACACUGAUAAAUUCAAUGAGUCGGUAGAAGAGACCCUGCUGCAUGAUGGUGACAUCACGAGAAAAGUAAACGUCAUUAGAAGUCUCAGAGAACUAACAAAAGACGUGCUUCACUACUACAAGGGUGAUAUCUUGGAUGACCUACCUGGCCUUGUAGACUUCAGUGUCUUCUUGAAACUCAGUCCCAAGCAGAAAGAAAUCGUUCACAAGUUGGAAGCCUACGAGAAGUUCAAAAAAAAUGCAGUAGGAACUGCCCUGUACAUGCAUCCAUGUCUAUCUGAAAUGUCAGAAGUCGCAGCGGCAGACAGGGCUUCCAACUUGACGGAUGCAGCUGUUGAUAGUCUGGUCCAGUCUAUCAAUGUGGCCGACGGUGUGAAGGCCAGAUUUUUCACCAAUAUCCUGGCACUUGCGGAAUCUGCAGGAGAGAAGGUCCUUGCUUUCAGUCAGUACCUACUUCCCAUGAAAUUUUUGGAAAGGCUACUGGUUAAGACAAGGGGCUGGCAUGUAGGAAAGGAGAUGUUUGUGAUCCGUGGUGAUAGUAAAUGUACUAUGGAAGAAAGAGAACUGACAGUGGCUCAGUUUAACAACUCUGCUGAUGCAAAAGUCCUGUUUGGCUCUAUCAAGGCAUGUGGGGAGGGCAUCUCCCUGGUGGGCGCAUCGAGAGUGGUCAUUCUAGAUGUUCACUUGAACCCCUCCGUUACCCGUCAGGCAAUCGGGCGGGCGUUCAGGCCUGGACAGCAGAAGAAAGUGUUUGUCUACAGGCUCGUAGCAGCUGACUCUCCGGAGGAGAACACCCAUAAAACUGCGGUCAAGAAGGAGGUGAUACCGAAGCUGUGGUUUGAAUGGAGCGAGCAGCGCUGCACGUCGGAGGGCUUCCAGCUGAACGAAAUCGACAUCGACGACUGUGGGGACGAGCUGCUGGACAACAGGGCAAUGCGCCAGGACAUCAAGGCCUUGUACACAAGGUGAAGGCAGGCUGGCUGUUGUACAUACACCGUGUACAUAUGGCUUGCCGAUCGUUGGAGAUUGUCAUUGCUCUCAGGGUGUUACAGUUGCUGCUCCGUUGUGGUGGAACUCCAAGCAAGGGUUUUCUGUUGUUGGUGCCGUCUUCCUGCAUAUGUCUGUUGGGUGACCUACCUACCUACCUGUUUUGUAGUAUGUGCCGACUUCGGACAGCAAUUAGCCAGGGAACCGAUCCUCGUCGCAUCUCUUGAUCAGGACUCCCAGGAUUAAGCGGAUACGCGUUUUUUUGCUACCUUGUCGUGACCGAAUAAUGUUGUUGUGUUGGAUGCCAAACCUCGGGCUGCACGGCACCUCCCACCGUCGUCGGUAGGGUGAUAAGUGUUUUCUGUGCGCAGGAAAUGCAGGUACUCUCUGUUAUGAGGGGAGGAAAACUGAAAUAACCCCUGCAAGUCACAAAUUGGAACUCGGUGUCGUGCUGAGAGAUGUACAGAUUGUUUGGUGUCUUAAAUUCUGUGUCGUCCAGUGUUCAUCCAUC